CCUACGGGAGACAGCAGUGGGGAAUAUUGCACAAUGGGGGGAACCCUGAUGCAGCGACGCCGCGUGGGUGAAGGAGUAUUUCGGUAUGUAAAGCCCUAUCAGCAGGGAAGAACAAUGACGGUACCUGACUAAGAAGCACCGGCUAAAUACGUGCCAGCAGCCGCGGUAAUACGUAUGGUGCAAGCGUUAUCCGGAUUUACUGGGUGUAAAGGGAGCGCAGGCGGCGCGUUAAGCCUGGUGUGAAAGUCCGCGGCCCAACCGCGGGACUGCAUUGGGAACUGGCGCGCUGGAGUGCCGGAGGGGUAGGCGGAAUUCCUAGUGUAGCGGUGAAAUGCGUAGAUAUUAGGAGGAACACCAGUGGCGAAGGCGGCCUACUGGACGGUGACUGACGCUGAGGCUCGAAAGCGUGGGGGGCAAACAGGAUUAGAUACCCCAGUAGUC
RNAcentral lists this ribosomal RNA (441 nucleotides) under uncultured bacterium. RNAcentral describes it as "partial 16S ribosomal RNA". It matches the Rfam family "Bacterial small subunit ribosomal RNA", at positions 338 to 795 of the family's 1533-position model. The record is from RNAcentral.